Molecule: ribosomal RNA, 301 nt
Filed under: uncultured bacterium
Lineage: Bacteria
Description: partial 16S ribosomal RNA
Rfam family: Bacterial small subunit ribosomal RNA
Source: RNAcentral
CAGUAGCCGCGGGAAUACGUAGGGAGCAAGCGUUGUUCGGAUUUACUGGGCGUAAAGGGCGCGUAGGCGGCGCGGUAAGUCACUUGUGAAAUCUCUGAGCUUAACUCAGAACGGCCAAGUGAUACUGCUGUGCUAGAGUGCGGAAGAGGCAACCGGAAUUCUUGGUGUAGCGGUGAAAUGCGUAGAUAUCAAGAGGAACACCUGAGGCGAAGGCGGGUUGCUGGGCCGACACUGACGCUGAUGCGCGAAAGCCAGGGGAGCAAACAGGAUUAGAUACCCCCGUAGUCCCUGUCUCUUAUAC